Molecule: ribosomal RNA, 255 nt
Filed under: uncultured bacterium
Lineage: Bacteria
Description: partial 16S ribosomal RNA
Rfam family: Bacterial small subunit ribosomal RNA
Source: RNAcentral
CGUAGGGGGCGAGCGUUGUCCGGAAUUACUGGGCGUAAGGGCGCGUAGGCGGUCUAAUAAGUCAGAUGUGAAACCCCCGGGCUUAACCCUGGGCUUGCAUUUGAAACUGUUGGACUUGAGGACAGGAGAGGAAAGCGGAAUUCCCAGUGUAGCGGUGAAAUGCGUAGAUAUUGGGAGGAACACCAGUGGCGAAGGCGGCUUUCUGGACUGCCCCUGACGCUGAGGCGCGAAAGCCAGGGGUAGCGAACGGGGAUU